CGGACGUGGGUAACCUGCCUCAUACAGGGGGAUAACAGUUAGAAAUGGCUGCUAAUACCGCAUAAGCGCACAGCUUCGCAUGGAGCAGUGCGAAAAACUCCGGUGGUAUGAGAUGGACCCGCGUCUGAUUAGCUGGUUGGUGAGGUAACGGCUCACCAAGGCGACGAUCAGUAGCCGGCUUGAGAGAGUGAACGGCCACACUGGAACUGAGACACGGUCCAGACUCCUACGGGAGGCAGCAUG
Molecule: ribosomal RNA, 243 nt
Filed under: uncultured bacterium
Lineage: Bacteria
Description: partial 16S ribosomal RNA
Rfam family: Bacterial small subunit ribosomal RNA
Source: RNAcentral